GACGAACGCUGGCGGCGUGCUUAACACAUGCAAGUCGAACGGAAAGGCCCUGCUUUUGUGGGGUGCUCGAGUGGCGAACGUGUGAGUAACACGUGAGUAACCUGCCCUUUACUUUGGGAUAACUUCAUGAAACUGGGGCUAAUACCGGAUAUGAGCUCCUGCUGCAUGGUGGGGGUUGGAAAGUUUCGGCGGUUGGGUAUGGACUCGCGGCUUAUCAUUUUGUUGGUGGGGUAGUUGCUUACCACGGCUUUGACGGGUAUCCGGCCUGAGAGGGUGACCGGCCACAUUGGGACUGAGAUAAGGCCCAGACUCAUACGGGAGGCAGCAGUGGGGAAUAUUGAACAAUGGGAGGAAGCCUGAUGCAGCAACGGCGCGUGCGGGAUGACGGCCUUAGGGUUGUAAACCGCUUUCGCCUGUGACGAAGCGUGAGUGACGGUAAUGGGUAAAGAAGCACCGGCUAAAUACGUG
Molecule: ribosomal RNA, 468 nt
Filed under: uncultured bacterium
Lineage: Bacteria
Description: partial 16S ribosomal RNA
Rfam family: Bacterial small subunit ribosomal RNA
Source: RNAcentral